This 405-nucleotide ribosomal RNA is filed under the name Staphylococcus aureus. Its description in RNAcentral is "bacterial SSU rRNA". It matches the Rfam family "Bacterial small subunit ribosomal RNA", at positions 78 to 435 of the family's 1533-position model. Lineage: Bacteria; Bacillati; Bacillota; Bacilli; Caryophanales; Staphylococcaceae. The record is from RNAcentral.
GCCUGCUUCUCUGAUGUUAGCGGCGGACGGGUGAGUAACACGUGGAUAACCUACCUAUAAGACUGGAGAGUUUUGAUAACUUCGGGAAACCGGAGCUAAUACCGGAUAAUAUUUUGAACCGCAUGGUUCAAAAGUGAAAGACGGUCUUGCUGAGAGCGUUGUCACUUAUAGAUGGAUCCGCGCUGCAUUAGCUAGUUGGUAAGGUAACGGCUUACCAAGGCAACGAUGCAGAGAUGGGGAGAGAGCGUUUAGGUGUCCGACCUGAGAGGGUGAUCGGCCACACUGGAACUGAGACACGGUCCAGACUCCUACGGGAGGCAGCAGUAGGGAAUCUUCCGCAAUGGGCGAAAGCCUGACGGAGCAACGCCGCGUGAGUGAUGAAGGUCUUCGGAUCGUAAAACUAAC